RNAcentral lists this long non-coding RNA (306 nucleotides) under Mytilus galloprovincialis (Mediterranean mussel). The record is from RNAcentral. Lineage: Eukaryota; Metazoa; Mollusca; Bivalvia; Mytilida; Mytilidae.
CCCACUAACCCCUAACUUUCUUUUCAUAUUUUUAUUACAUAUAAUUUAAAAAGCCAUAUUUAAAAAUCUUAUGAAAUCCUUGUUAUGUUUUCAUAGUUUUUUAAACAAAAAGGGUGCCAAUGUUAAGUGAAAGAAAAAUCUAGAGAGAAUUAUUCCCCGCCAAAUUUUCAACGGCUUAUAUCUCGAUAUCAAGCACAUGGACCUUCCAUUUUUUUCUGCUUAUUUAUAUACUUUCAAUUUUUUUCAAUUUAUAACAGUCUUUUAAGAAGCUUGUUAUUUUUAAACAGAGUAGCGAACAUCCUUAAG